Molecule: ribosomal RNA, 1137 nt
Filed under: Bacillus sp. R2(2009)
Lineage: Bacteria; Bacillati; Bacillota; Bacilli; Caryophanales; Bacillaceae
Description: bacterial SSU rRNA
Rfam family: Bacterial small subunit ribosomal RNA
Source: RNAcentral
AACCGGGGCUAAUACCGGAUGGUUGUUUGAACCGCAUGGUUCAAACUAAAUAGGUGGCUUCGGCUACCACUUACAGAUGGACCCGCGGCGCAUUAGCUAGUUGGUGAGGUAACGGCUCACCAAGGCAACGAUGCGUAGCCGACCUGAGAGGGUGAUCGGCCACACUGGGACUGAGACACGGCCCAGACUCCUACGGGAGGCAGCAGUAGGGAAUCUUCCGCAAUGGACGAAAGUCUGACGGAGCAACGCCGCGUGAGUGAUGAAGGUUUUCGGAUCGUAAAGCUCUGUUGUUAGGGAAGAACAAGUACCGUUCGAAUAGGGCGGUACCUUGACGGUACCUAACCAGAAAGCCACGGCUAACUACGUGCCAGCAGCCGCGGAAAUACGUAGGUGGCAAGCGUUGUCCGGAAUUAUUGGGCGUAAAGGGCUCGCAGGCGGUUUCUUAAGUCUGAUGUGAAAGCCCCCGGCUCAACCGGGGAGGGUCAUUGGAAACUGGGGAACUUGAGUGCAGAAGAGGAGAGUGGAAUUGGACGUGUAGCGGUGAAAUGCGUAGAGAUGUGGAGGAACACCAGUGGCGAAGGCGACUCUCUGGUCUGUAACUGACGCUGAGGAGCGAAAGCGUGGGGAGCGAACAGGAUUAGAUACCCUGGUAGUCCACGCCGUAAACGAUGAGUGCUAAGUGUUAGGGGGUUUCCGCCCCUUAGUGCUGCAGCUUACGCAUUAAGCACUCCGCCUGGGGAGUACGGUCGCAAGACUGAAACUCAAAGGAAUUGACGGGGGCCCGCACAAGCGGUGGAGCAUGUGGUUUAAUUCGAAGCAACGCGAAGAACCUUACCAGGUCUUGACAUCCUCUGACAAUCCUAGAGAUAGGACGUCCCCUUCGGGGGCAGAGUGACAGGUGGUGCAUGGUUGUCGUCAGCUCGUGUCGUGAGAUGUUGGGUUAAGUCCCGCAACGAGCGCAACCCUUGAUCUUAGUUGCCAGCAUUCAGUUGGGCACUCUAAGGUGACUGCCGGUGACAAACCGGAGGAAGGUGGGGAUGACGUCAAAUCAUCAUGCCCCUUAUGACCUGGGCUACACACGUGCUACAAUGGACAGAACAAAGGGCAGCGAAACCGCGAGGUUAAGCCAAUCCCACA